UACGUAGGCAGCGAGCGUUGUUCGGAAUUAUUGGGCGUAAAGAGUGUGUAGGCGGUGCUCCAAGUCUGUUGUGAAAUCUCCCGGCUUAACUGGGAGGGUGCGGCGGAAACUGGAAUGCUAGAGGGUGGGAGAGGUAAGCGGAAUUCCUGGUGUAGCGGUGAAAUGCGUAGAUAUCAGGAGGAACACCUGUGGUGUAGACAGCUUACUGGACCACUUCUGACGCUGAGACACGAAAGCGUGGGGAGCAAACAGG
RNAcentral lists this ribosomal RNA (253 nucleotides) under uncultured bacterium. Its description in RNAcentral is "partial 16S ribosomal RNA". It matches the Rfam family "Bacterial small subunit ribosomal RNA", at positions 524 to 776 of the family's 1533-position model. The record is from RNAcentral.